CCUGCCCUGGUUCCUAAGGGUCCCUUCCUGGAUUUUCUGACCACAGGAAGCCUUGCUGCCUUGACUCUUCCCCAGCCUUAAUGCUGCCUUACUGUGUGACUUCAGAGACUACCUGGAAAGAAGAGGCGAUCUUCAGCCUGGACUCCUCUGGGGUGACCCUUCCCGGGGCCGCUGUAACAUGAGCCAGACAUUGCAUGAGUGACUGAACGUGACCGCUCAGGUUCUCACCUGCCCUCCAGCCUCCCAUACAGCCACCUUUCCUCCCUUCCAUGAGGCAUGGAGACCUGGGCAAAGCAGAUGUGAAUCCACAUUCUAUCCUGCAGUAGAAGGGGCCCUUGUAGAAGACAUCAAACCUCUCUGUACUGUUUUUGAAACAGGGUAGCAAUGGAACGCAUCUCCCAGACCAUUAGGAAGCUCUGGGCUUGCAGCCAAUAGAGUGGAAGCUAGGGUUACUGUGUCACAUUCAAGACCCAAGCUGGAUUCUCCAGAUUUAACUCAGCAAGUAUUUAUGGAGCAUCUACUAUGUGUUAGGUGCUGCAGCAGGCCUAGGGAUGGAAGAGAACAAAAGUCCCUUGUCCCAGAGUUCCCACUCUAGCUGCCUCCCUUUCCUCAUUCCUAUUCCUCUUGGGUCUACACACGGGCCCCUUGCACCAGGCUCUUGUACUGCUCCUUGCUCUGGUUGAACUGUUGCCUCUUGACAUCAGACCCAGCUCUGCUUUCUCCGGCUCCUCUCAGAGGCCGACCAUGGCCACCCUCUUUGAAGCAGUAGUUUUCCACCAUGGGUGGCAAAACAGCCUCAUGGUCGGAAGCCAGGGUGACCAGGAGGAAGAUGAGCAGUGUGACAGGAUGUUGUUUCUUUGCCUGAGUGUGUUCACUUUAUUCACAUCCGCUGAACUGCACAUUGAUGUGUACUUUCUUGUAUAAAAGUUAUACUUCAAUGGUUUCUGAUAACAA
Chinchilla lanigera (long-tailed chinchilla) is the source of this 954-nucleotide long non-coding RNA. RefSeq lists it as uncharacterized. The record is from RefSeq and is a predicted model, not a curated record. Lineage: Eukaryota; Metazoa; Chordata; Mammalia; Rodentia; Chinchillidae. The transcript has 2 exons.